Long non-coding RNA from Hordeum vulgare subsp. vulgare (domesticated barley), 1298 nucleotides. RefSeq lists it as uncharacterized. NCBI's taxonomy places the organism in Eukaryota, Viridiplantae, Streptophyta, Magnoliopsida, Poales, Poaceae. The transcript has 2 exons. The record is from RefSeq and is a predicted model, not a curated record.
UUUUUCUUCUUCUUCUUCUUCCUCCUCCAUGGCACGCGGUGCUGCCCUCCUGGCUCUCAUCUGCUGCUGCUGGUUAGCAAUAGCAUGCUCGGCGGCAGCCCAAGUUGUUCCGGACGGACACCGUGAGCCAAGGACUCCGCCAUCACCGCAGCCCGGGAACCAGAACCCGGCGCCGGUCGAGAUUGCGCCGCCACCGCCGUCUACAGGGACAUUGGCGCUUGCGCCUCACCGCAAGACCCUGCAGCAGGCUGUUUCGAGCGUUCCUCGUGUAUGAAGCACUGUCACUCCGAUAUGUUCUUCUCUAUUCAUGUACGAUUGGUGAUCGUGCCAACUAAGGCAACAAACAUAAGACCACGGAACGUGUAAUCUUACGUUCUUGGUGACCAGGCUUGUUUGUUGGGCAUGAUCCGCUUUAUAUAUAAAGCAACAACCAAUAUGCCAAUCGAUACCAGGCUUUGUGCAGCUCUUCAUCUUCUUCUUCUUCUUCCAUGACACGCUGUGUUGCCCUCCUGGCUCUCAUCUGCUGUUCAUUAGCAUGCUCGGCGACGGCCCAAGGUAAAUAAGUAAGAGAUAUUUUACGAUUAACUACUACACGGAAGGGUGGCCGUCUGAUUCUAUCGGCAGUUAAGUUGUGACGAUGAAACUAGUAAAGUAUAAAGUUGUUUGUGCUUGCUAGUUUCAUUAUGUCAAGAUGCCAUAUUUAUUCAUAAUUUCUAAAAAUAUGGCAGUUAAGUUAUUUUUUAUCAGAUAAGUAAGUACUUACUAAUAUGAUAAGUAAGUACAACAAAUGUGGUAAGUAAAAGCUGUUACAUCUUUGGGAGAAAAAAAGAUCCAACCAGGGCAACAUCUUGCUUGUUACAUCUUUUGUCUAGCUUUUUUGUAAGUAGAUACAUGUUCUUGUAAGGUAGCUAGGAUGGAGAUUUUGUAUGUACCUGUGAUGUUUUUGGUCCUUAUUUAUGUUAAGUCACGACAUGUCUCAGUAGAGUGGAGAAAUAAGAGAUCACAGGAUGGAUGGAAAUGGUUAGGACCGUGGGAAGUGCUUCGUAAUCAGUUGUGGGCGCACCGUUUUUAGGCCGAGCUCUCAUGGCUUUUGGUCUAGGAACAGACUGGCUUUAGUGAGUUGUCCCUUCCGUGCUCAAGGGGAUGGAAGGUGACGUACGCAGUAGGGCCGCCGCACGGGAAGCACUGGGUGCGGCGCCGCUGCCUAGUGGCUUUCUUCGUUUUUUUAAUCUUAUUUCAACUUCAGACUUUUUGUGUCCUUAAUAUGCAUUAUUCAAAGAGGCCUCAUACAUUUUCAA